GAUAACCUGGAGGAAGGUGGGGAUGACGUCAAAUCAUCAUGCCCCUUAUGCUUAGGGCUACACACGUGCUACAAUGGGUAGUACAGAGGGUUGCCAAGCCGUAAGGUGGAGCUAAUCCCUUAAAGCUACUCUCAGUUCGGAUUGUAGGCUGAAACUCGCCUACAUGAAGCUGGAGUUACUAGUAAUCGCAGAUCAGAAUGCUGCGGUGAAUGCGUUCCCGGGUCUUGUACACACCGCCCGUCACACCACGGGAGUUGGAGACGCCCGAAGCCGAUUAUCUAACCUUUUGGAAGAAGUCGUCGAAGGUGGAAUCAAUAACGGGGGUGAAGUCGUAACAAGGUAGCCGUAUCGGAAGGUGCGGCUGGAUCACCUCCUUUCUAAGGAGA
Molecule: ribosomal RNA, 386 nt
Filed under: Clostridioides difficile
Lineage: Bacteria; Bacillati; Bacillota; Clostridia; Peptostreptococcales; Peptostreptococcaceae
Description: bacterial SSU rRNA
Rfam family: Bacterial small subunit ribosomal RNA
Source: RNAcentral